RNAcentral lists this transfer RNA (72 nucleotides) under Sus scrofa (pig). It matches the Rfam family "tRNA". From Rfam's summary of the family: Transfer RNA (tRNA) molecules are approximately 80 nucleotides in length. Their secondary structure includes four short double-helical elements and three loops (D, anti-codon, and T loops). The record is from Rfam by way of RNAcentral. Lineage: Eukaryota; Metazoa; Chordata; Mammalia; Artiodactyla; Suidae.
UCCCUAGUGGUCUAGUGGUUAGAACUCAGUGCUUUCACUACUGCGGCUUAGGUUCAAUCCCUGGUCUGGGAA